CGCAAGCCUGACGGAGCAAGACCGCGUGGGGGAGGAAUGCCUUAGGGUUGUAAACCCCUUUUCUCAGGGAAGAAGAUCUGACGGUACCUGAGGAAUCAGCAUCGGCUAACUCCGUGCCAGCAGCCGCGGUAAGACGGAGGAUGCAAGCGUUAUCCGGAAUUAUUGGGCGUAAAGCGUCCGCAGGUGGCGAUUCAAGUCUGCUGUCAAAGCACGGGGCUUAACUCCGUAAAGGCAGUGGAAACUGAGUAGCUAGAGUGCCGUAGGGGUAGAGGGAAUUCCCGGUGUAGCGGUGAAAUGCGUAGAGAUCGGGAAGAACAUCGGUGGCGAAAGCGCUCUACUGGACGGCAACUGACACUCAGGGACGAAAGCUAGGGGAGCG
This 379-nucleotide ribosomal RNA is filed under the name uncultured cyanobacterium. RNAcentral's name for it is "bacterial SSU rRNA". It matches the Rfam family "Bacterial small subunit ribosomal RNA", at positions 376 to 770 of the family's 1533-position model. The record is from RNAcentral. Lineage: Bacteria; Bacillati; Cyanobacteriota.